GUGAACUUAGGGAAUGGGUGAGAGCUCGGCUAAGCUUCACAGAUGAAUCCCAUGCACUCUGGAAAUUUCAGUGUGAAUAAGGACUAAAAUGGACGGCCAUAUGACACCGAGAAUGAAAUCUCUGCCGACUUUGUCUCCUGAGCGCAACAAGAAGGCAGUCUUCUACUCAGAUAGGACUCAAAACAACAAAGGAGUAAACUUUGAUUGUUCGUGAAAAGGGAGUAUACACGUCAGCUGUGAGAACCCAAAGGCUCUGGGUCAGUCUGCACCUGCUGCUGAGAACAGCAGUUGGACUGCAAAUGAAGACAGCCCUUUAAAGUGAUUACUGACACUUGGAUACAAAGGGUGCCGAGAAGAGAUUUGCUGUACAUGUCUGUUCCUGACCUAAGGCUGUUUCUUCGAGGUCUGCACUGGAGAGCUCCAAGUUCUAUGGCUCAGGGAAUUCCCUCAACCUACCUGCUGGCUCACUACCCUUGCCACAGUGGCAGAAAACCCCACCUUUUCUCCACUCUUGACCUCCAGAGGUGCUGCCCUAUCUGAAUAUCCUUAGGGUUCCAAAGCAUGGAUACCUCCCUGCCAGGUAUA
Molecule: long non-coding RNA, 585 nt
Organism: Mus caroli (Ryukyu mouse)
Lineage: Eukaryota; Metazoa; Chordata; Mammalia; Rodentia; Muridae
Source: RefSeq, a predicted model, not a curated record